This 590-nucleotide ribosomal RNA is filed under the name uncultured bacterium. RNAcentral describes it as "bacterial SSU rRNA". It matches the Rfam family "Bacterial small subunit ribosomal RNA", at positions 337 to 917 of the family's 1533-position model. The record is from RNAcentral.
UCCUACGGGAGGCAGCAGUAGGGAAUCUUCCGCAAUGGACGAAAGUCUGACGGAGCAACGCCGCGUGAGUGAUGAAGGCUUUCGGGUCGUAAAACUCUGUUGUUAGGGAAGAACAAGUGCUAGUUGAAUAAGCUGGCACCUUGACGGUACCUAACCAGAAAGCCACGGCUAACUACGUGCCAGCAGCCGCGGUAAUACGUAGGUGGCAAGCGUUAUCCGGAAUUAUUGGGCGUAAAGCGCGCGCAGGUGGUUUCUUAAGUCUGAUGUGAAAGCCCACGGCUCAACCGUGGAGGGUCAUUGGAAACUGGGAGACUUGAGUGCAGAAGAGGAAAGUGGAAUUCCAUGUGUAGCGGUGAAAUGCGUAGAGAUAUGGAGGAACACCAGUGGCGAAGGCGACUUUCUGGUCUGUAACUGACACUGAGGCGCGAAAGCGUGGGGAGCAAACAGGAUUAGAUACCCUGGUAGUCCACGCCGUAAACGAUGAGUGUUAAGUGUUAGAGGGUUUCCGCCCUUUAGUGCUGAAGUUAACGCAUUAAGCACUCCGCCUGGGGAGUACGGCCGCAAGGCUGAAACUCAAAGGAAUUGACGGA